Long non-coding RNA from Scylla paramamosain (green mud crab), 2054 nucleotides. RefSeq lists it as uncharacterized. The record is from RefSeq and is a predicted model, not a curated record. NCBI's taxonomy places the organism in Eukaryota, Metazoa, Arthropoda, Malacostraca, Decapoda, Portunidae. The transcript is spliced from 4 exons.
UCCCAAAGCAAACCUCGUCUUUAAUUUUCAGGGAGAGUGAUCUAUACUAUCCCUAUUACUACUACUAUUAUGACUAUUUCCAGGUUAAGAGUGACUACCUGGAGGAUGAAAGCAGGGCGGCAGAAGGCAUGGAUUUCGACACAGCCAUCCAGCUCACUUGCAUCGAAAUCAAGCGAGUCUUUAAGCGGAUGAACGGAUGCGCGAUGGACAAGAAGUCAAAUCUUGAGCAGCCGGAGAAGGAAGUCGGUCUACAUGAAUUCCUACCGGCCUACGUCAUCAACACCAUCAAACAGAAAACGUUACGUAAGGCUUUGCAGGGAAACUUUAAGAAAUUCUCGGCGUUCUUCGAUUACGAAUCUCACUUCAAGUGCCUCGAGAUUUUGGGAAAAGUUGGAAAGUUUGACAUCGAAAACUUCCGCUGUGCACUCGGCUGUGGUUGGUCUAUUCCUGUCACUCUGCUUGUCGGCCCAAGUGUUGGUAUUUCCUACUGGACAGAUUCUGCCUCUGCCUUGCGUUGAAAUCGGCCAUGACGACAGUGGUGCCGGCAUCCACAGUGUGCUGCGUCAGUACUCCGCACUGAGCAUCAUGACAAUAAGGGGAGGCAUCUGGAGGUAUAUAUACGCCUCCUAACUUCAGUUCUGGAAUGCAUCACAAAACCACCGUGGCAUAUCUGGUCCUCAGCAUCCACGUCAACUUGCUGUACACUGUGCAUCAGUGCAUCCUGGCCAAGCAUCACCACUCCUCUAUUGCGUCCACUUCUUGACACAUUUCGGCACACACUAAGUCCCGGUACUUGUACGUUGUAAUAUUUUGUGGCUUCAAGAAUCCAGACGAUGUCAAAGUCCAGAAUAAACUUCAGUAUACUUGGCUCUUGUAACUUGUCUUUGAGACCAGCAAUAUUCCACCAACAAAGCUUCACCUCUCUGCUUGCACACAAAAAACACGAGGAGUGAAGCUGUCGAUAAUGACGCCAUCUCUUGGCAGCACGCGGUUCUUCCAAUCGUAAGUGAUAUUUACUCCGGCACUCUCAGCUUUCUCUCGCUCUUCUCGCUCCCUCUUCUGCAGACGAGCAGUUUCUCUCCUGAUUGCAAGGUGGACGUCCUUUUUAAUGUACACUCGCGACAUCUGUGCUCCAGCGUUCUGUAAAUUUUUGGCUGCAUGAAGUAUCCUGUCUCUUUGAUUUUGGUCGCCAACAGUGACGAGAAUCGGUCUCAUUUUCCUUUCAUUCUGUUGUGCCAGUCGCCUCACAAUCCAUCCGGUUCAAUCAACUGCUUCGGUAGGGCUUACCGCGUUCAUCACAUUCAUUACUUUCUCAUCGUCAGUUGCAGCAAGAUCAUCUCUGUCCUCUGGUGGGCCUGUUAUGAUGAGACUCUGUUGUCUUUCCUUAGCAUCUAAUGACUCUAGGAAUCGCUGUUGUUGAUGGAUCAUGUCAAAAAGCAGUUCUGAAUUUGUCAGUCAGAGUCUGAACUUCUCUUGAUUCAGUGAUGCCACCUCUGCUACUGCUACUCUGAGGCUUCGAAGCUCUUCCAGAAGGAUUCUGUUUGAUGGCUCCUCAUCUCUUGGUUCAUUUAUGAGAGCAGACAAGGCUUGUUUUAGCUGGGCAUUUUUCAUUUUAUCAAUAUUACUUAUUGCUAGAGCCUUGACAACAGAAGCAUCACUGUAUUCAGCCAUGAUUAUCGUUAGUUGUGUACAGCCAUCGUCAGACUGAGGUGGCAAAACUGCGUUGCCAGGAACGCGUUACUAGGCAACACUGCGCAUGCGCAAACCACAGCUCCCGAGUCAAGACGGGUUCCUGAACAGACACUUGCGGAGGAGGAGGAGGAGGAGGAAAAAAAAAACAUGAGGAAAGAGAAAAGCACAAGAAUGGCAAAGUGAGAGAGCGAUGAAAAGGAUACAAGGAGAAAAACAUAGAAGAGGGACGGAGGGAAAGCAGGGAAUGAAUGAUAGAGACUAAGAAAACUUUUUAUGAAGUACUAAAAGCCAAAACAUGUAGAGGGUUAUAGUAGUAGAAAGUGCAAUGCUAACUGGCAUUUGUCCAGCACUACCAAUUGUGA